Long non-coding RNA from Thalassophryne amazonica, 189 nucleotides. RefSeq lists it as uncharacterized. The record is from RefSeq and is a predicted model, not a curated record. Lineage: Eukaryota; Metazoa; Chordata; Actinopteri; Batrachoidiformes; Batrachoididae. The transcript is spliced from 3 exons.
GUCUAAUAGACAUUAUAUAUAUCCUACAUCCUUGUCAUUAUAUUGGUGGUUUGUAUGUCAUGUGUUAUUGAUCAUUUGUCCCAUUUGCCAUUGUGUUCCAUUUACCGUGCAGAUUUGGUUCCAUGCGUUUUGUACCAUUUUACACCCUGAACACCACGCACUCACACUAGUGGUGACGGCACUUAGCUA